GUAGUAUGAUCGAGUGAAGGUGAU
This 24-nucleotide non-coding RNA is filed under the name Arabidopsis thaliana (thale cress). Lineage: Eukaryota; Viridiplantae; Streptophyta; Magnoliopsida; Brassicales; Brassicaceae. The record is from RNAcentral.